UACGUAGGUGGCAAGCGUUGUCCGGAUUUGCUGGGCGUAAAGAGCGCGCAGGCGGUCGUUCAAGUCGCGUGUGAAAGCCCCCGGCUCAACUGGGGAGGGUCACGCGAUACUGAUCGACUCGAAGGCAGGAGAGGGUAGUGGAAUUCCCGGUGUAGUGGUGAAAUGCGUAGAUAUCGGGAUGAACACCAGUGGCGAAGGCGACUACCUGGCCUGUUCUUGACGCUGAGGCGCGAAAGCUAGGGGAGCAAACGGG
RNAcentral lists this ribosomal RNA (253 nucleotides) under uncultured bacterium. Its description in RNAcentral is "partial 16S ribosomal RNA". It matches the Rfam family "Bacterial small subunit ribosomal RNA", at positions 524 to 776 of the family's 1533-position model. The record is from RNAcentral.